UAAGGAAUAUUGGUCAAUGGACGCAAGUCUGAACCAGCCAUGCCGCGUGAAGGAUUAAGGCCCUCUGGGUUGUAAACUCCUUUUAUCUGGGAAGAAAUGUACUUUUUCUUGAGUACUUGACGGUACCAGAGGAAUAAGCACCGGCUAACUCCGUGCCAGCAGCCGCGGUACUACGGAGGGUGCAAGCGUUAUCCGGAUUCACUGGGUUUAAAGGGUGCGUAGGUGGGCAGGUAAGUCAGUGGUGAAAUCUCCGGGCUUAACCCGGAAACUGCCGUUGAUACUAUUUGUCUUGAAUAUUGUGGAGGUAAGCGGAAUAUGUCAUGUAGCGGGGAAAUGCUUAGAUAUGACAUAGAACACCAAUUGCGAAGGCAGCUUACUACACAAUCAUUGACGCUGAGGCACGAAAGCGUGGGGAUCAAAC
RNAcentral lists this ribosomal RNA (421 nucleotides) under uncultured bacterium. RNAcentral's name for it is "bacterial SSU rRNA". It matches the Rfam family "Bacterial small subunit ribosomal RNA", at positions 355 to 773 of the family's 1533-position model. The record is from RNAcentral.